AUGCAGCACCGCUCGCCGGCGGCGGCCACGGCCUCCGGAGCUGCCUCCACUGCGGCCGCCAUGGAGCCAGGCGUCGGCGGCGUCGAGCCUGCGGUGACGCUCGACCAGGUGCCGCGCUGGAGCGACCCCGACCAGCGCCUGUACACACCGUCCUCCUCGUCCGCCACCGCCGAAGCCGCGGACGGCGGAUCCGAGCCCGCAGCGUCCGCCUUCCUCUCCUUCUCCGACCCGCUCACCGGCGACGACGGCGGCGCCGCCGGUGGUGGCUGCGCGGGCGCCUCGCGCUUCCCCGUGGACCACGAGAUCAACUCCAGGAUCUACCUCUGGCGGGGACACCCCUGGAACAUGGAGGUCGACGCCGUCGUCAACUCCACCAACGAGAGCUUGGACGAGGCGCACAGUAGUCCUGGGCUGCACGCUGCAGCAGGUUCUGGGCUCGCGGAGGAAUGCGCCACCUUGGGAGGGUGCCGAACUGGGAUGGCAAAGAUGACCAAUGCAUACGAUCUUCCUGCGAGGAAGGUCAUCCAUACAGUGGGACCCAAAUAUGCUGUCAAGUAUCACACAGCUGCGGAAAAUGCACUUAGUCAUUGCUACCGGUCAUGUUUGGAACUACUCAUUGAGAACGGCCUUGAAAGCAUCGCAAUGGGUUGCAUAUACACGGAAGCUAAAAACUAUCCUCGUGAACCAGCUGCCCAUGUGGCAAUAAGGACUGUUAGACGUUUUCUGGAGAAACAGAAAGGCAAGAUAGCUGGUGUUAUUUUUUGUAUUACAUCAUCAUCUGAUACAGAGAUAUACAAAAGAUUGCUUCCGCUAUAUUUCCCUCGGGACAAGCAAGAGGAAGAGACUGCGGUAUCAAAACUUCCAGCUGAUGUCGGGGAUGAGAAUGGUGAAACUGUAAUAGAUGAAAGGAAAAUAAGAAUAAGACCAUUGCCUGCUGGUGCAGCAGAUAGAACAGUGGCUACAGCUCCUCUUGAUCUUCCUCUUGAGUCUGGAUUGGCAUCAAGCAGGAGUACAUUCAAACUGGAUUCGUAUUUGGACCCUUCAUUUAUGUCAUUAAUUAAAGACCCGGAUCUACGGCGCAAGGAGCAGUGGGGAAAAUCUUCUCAAGCUCAAAAGCGAUUUAAUUAUGCUAGGUUGCUUGGAUAUGGUGAUAUAGGUUUCCCUCCAUUGUCUGCUGCCGAGGAAUAUUCACUUCAUUCACGAUACCUUGCGAAAGCAAAUUCCCUUAAUCUUUCAGAGAUUGCUGAGAUGAAAAUAAUUUAUCGUGGUGGAGUUGAUAGUGAAGGGCGCCCAGUUAUGGUUGUUGUUGGUGCGCACUUUCUUCUUCGCUGCCUGGAUCUUGAACGGUUUGUUCUACAUGUAGUGAAGGAGUUUGAACCUUUGAUUCAGAAGCCAUAUACUAUUGUCUAUCUCCACUCGGCAGCAUCAUUACAACCGCAACCAGAUUUAGGAUUCAUGAAAAGGAUACAACAAAUAUUAGGCCGGAAACAUCAGCGAAACCUUCAUGGGAUUUAUAUACUCCACCCAACCUUGGGGUUGAGAACAGCUAUUCUGGGGAUGCAGCUUUUGAUUGAUGGAGAGGUAUGGAAGAAAGUUGUGUAUGUUGACAGGCUGGUGCAAUUGUUCAGAUAUGUACCACGCGAACAAUUAACUAUCCCAGAUUUUGUAUUUCAGCAUGAUUUGGAGGUGAAUGGUGGUAGAGGCAUGAUUGUGGACCCAAGAACAAAACAUAUCUAUCAGAGACCAUCUGGCUGA
RNAcentral lists this ribosomal RNA (1755 nucleotides) under Triticum aestivum (bread wheat). Its description in RNAcentral is "partial small subunit ribosomal RNA". The record is from RNAcentral. Lineage: Eukaryota; Viridiplantae; Streptophyta; Magnoliopsida; Poales; Poaceae.